UGCGACCCAGCGGUUUUUUUAACGGCACCUUUUUUGUUAUUGUUUCAAAUGAAGAUACAAAUUCAAAAUUGAACAGGUGACGAGCUAAAUACAUUUCAAAAUUUAAUUCGCCCUGAGGAAAAACUGUUAUCGAAAGAAUGGCCACCAACAUAAUCAAACCUUGAGAUGGUGUUCUUCAAGCUAAAUUUAACACGGGAUCGGGUAAUUGGUCGGCGGUUUUGCCUUAUGUUGAUCGUCAAAAGAUGUACACCAUUGGCGAUACGUUCACCUCGUCCGAGACGCAGGGCGAAUUCGUCUUUUUCAGGAUAAUCGUGUGGAACAAGGAGGAGUGGAAUUGGAGUUUCGGUUUGGAAAUCUUCUGCGAAGAUAACUAUUACUGGAUCAAACCUUUAGAGGAGGGGGACGGAAUUUAUAAAAACAGCGUAAACCUGGAUGCCAACGUGAAAACUAUGCUAAAUUUUGGCGACAUUUUCACCGUCAUGAACAUAGGGCGGAUAUGUAUGUACUUAAAUUCCUCAAAAUAUGUAUGUAAUAUGUGCUUAAAAAACACGAAAAUAUGCACAUAAAACAUAUUUUUCUAUUGCAAUUUUCUACUGUAUUUAAAUUUAAGUGUCCAAACCUUUAAACUUUUUAACACUCUUAUCAACGAAUUAUUAAAUAUAUCAUUUUAAUCUUCAUCUAAUGACCCAUAAUGCGACAUUAGUUACAUUCGAAGAUUUUCAGGGGUAAUUUUUUGACUUGCAAAAUGGGCAAACUGGAUUUGCUAGUAGUUCAUAUUAAUUUAACAUCAUGAUUAUCAUGAAAAUCUAAUUUUGACAAAACUUUAAUUUCUGAAUAAAGAAAAAUA
Folsomia candida is the source of this 847-nucleotide long non-coding RNA. RefSeq lists it as uncharacterized. The transcript has 4 exons. The record is from RefSeq and is a predicted model, not a curated record. NCBI's taxonomy places the organism in Eukaryota, Metazoa, Arthropoda, Collembola, Entomobryomorpha, Isotomidae.